GCUACCAUAGCUCAGUUGGUAGAGCAACAGAUUCGUAACCUGUAGGUCGGCGGUUCGGUUCCGCCUGGUAGCUCCA
RNAcentral lists this transfer RNA (76 nucleotides) under Clostridia bacterium. RNAcentral describes it as "tRNA-Thr". It matches the Rfam family "tRNA". Rfam says of the family: Transfer RNA (tRNA) molecules are approximately 80 nucleotides in length. Their secondary structure includes four short double-helical elements and three loops (D, anti-codon, and T loops). Lineage: Bacteria; Bacillati; Bacillota; Clostridia. The record is from RNAcentral.